Molecule: ribosomal RNA, 251 nt
Filed under: uncultured bacterium
Lineage: Bacteria
Description: partial 16S ribosomal RNA
Rfam family: Bacterial small subunit ribosomal RNA
Source: RNAcentral
GCAAGUCGAACGAGAAUCAAUCCUUCGGGGUGGAGGAAAGUGGCGCACGGGUGAGUAACACGUGGGUAAUCAACCCCUAACAUUGGGACAACUCGGGGAAACUCGAGCUAAUACCAGAUGUCGCGUUCGGGUCUUCGGGCCUGAACGUAAAAGGAUCAAUCCGGUAAGGGACGAGCUCGCGGCCCAUCAGCUAGUUGGAGAGGUAAUGGCUCACCAAGGCUAAGACGGGUAGCUGGUCUGAGAGGAUGAUC